This 72-nucleotide transfer RNA is filed under the name Choloepus hoffmanni (Hoffmann's two-fingered sloth). Its description in RNAcentral is "tRNA-Ala (AGC) (tRNA-Ala-AGC-5-1)". It matches the Rfam family "tRNA". From Rfam's summary of the family: Transfer RNA (tRNA) molecules are approximately 80 nucleotides in length. Their secondary structure includes four short double-helical elements and three loops (D, anti-codon, and T loops). The record is from RNAcentral. Lineage: Eukaryota; Metazoa; Chordata; Mammalia; Pilosa; Megalonychidae.
GGGGGUGUAGCUCAGUGGUAGAGCGCGUGCUUAGCAUGCACGAGGCCCUGGGUUCGAUGCCCAGCACCUCCA